RNAcentral lists this transfer RNA (72 nucleotides) under Camelus ferus (Wild Bactrian camel). It matches the Rfam family "tRNA". From Rfam's summary of the family: Transfer RNA (tRNA) molecules are approximately 80 nucleotides in length. Their secondary structure includes four short double-helical elements and three loops (D, anti-codon, and T loops). Further hydrogen bonds mediate the characteristic L-shaped molecular structure. tRNAs have two regions of fundamental functional importance: the anti-codon, which is responsible for specific mRNA codon recognition, and the 3' end, to which the tRNAs corresponding amino acid is attached (by aminoacyl-tRNA synthetases). tRNAs cope with the degeneracy of the genetic code in two manners: having more than one tRNA (with a specific anti-codon) for a particular amino acid; and 'wobble' base-pairing, i.e. permitting non-standard base-pairing at the 3rd anti-codon position. The record is from Rfam by way of RNAcentral. Lineage: Eukaryota; Metazoa; Chordata; Mammalia; Artiodactyla; Camelidae.
UGGGCUAUAACUCAGUGGUAGAGUGCAUGCUCAGCAUGCAUGAAGUCCUGGGUUCGAUCCCCAGUACCUCCA